UAGCACAGAGAGCUUGCUCUCGGGUGACGAGCGGCGGACGGGUGAGUAAUGUCUGGGAAACUGCCUGAUGGAGGGGGAUAACUACUGGAAACGGUAGCUAAUACCGCAUAACGUCGCAAGACCAAAGUGGGGGACCUUCGGGCCUCAUGCCAUCAGAUGUGCCCAGAUGGGAUUAGCUGGUAGGUGGGGUAACGGCUCACCUAGGCGACGAUCCCUAGCUGGUCUGAGAGGAUGACCAGCCACACUGGAACUGAGACACGGUCCAGACUCCUACGGGAGGCAGCAGUGGGGAAUAUUGCACAAUGGGCGCAAGCCUGAUGCAGCCAUGCCGCGUGUGUGAAGAAGGCCUUCGGGUUGUAAAGCACUUUCAGCGGGGAGGAAGGCGGUGAGGUUAAUAACCUCAUCGAUUGACGUUAUCCGCAGAAGAAGCACCGGCUAACUCCGUGCCAGCAGCCGCGGUAAUACGGAGGGUGCAAGCGUUAAUCGGAAUUACUGGGCGUAAAGCGCACGCAGGCGGUCUGUCAAGUCGGAUGUGAAAUCCCCGGGCUCAACCUGGGAACUGCAUUCGAAACUGGCAGGCUAGAGUCUUGUAGAGGGGGGUAGAAUUCCAGGUGUAGCGGUGAAAUGCGUAGAGAUCUGGAGGAAUACCGGUGGCGAAGGCGGCCCCCUGGACAAAGACUGACGCUCAGGUGCGAAAGCG
RNAcentral lists this ribosomal RNA (700 nucleotides) under uncultured bacterium. RNAcentral's name for it is "bacterial SSU rRNA". It matches the Rfam family "Bacterial small subunit ribosomal RNA", at positions 68 to 761 of the family's 1533-position model. The record is from RNAcentral.